AUGCAUAACGCCAUUAGCCCUAGAAAAAGAAAAUUCAAAUCUAUAGACGGUAAUCCCAAGAGACGGCGUAGAUCUGAUAGUGGGGGUAGCAUUAUGGAUUUAGAACUUGAAGAGAUGGCAAUGAGGUAUGACGCAACCGGCAAUAGGUCUCAUUUGUCGGCCGUAGGACAUGUGGGGGGUGGGGGCAUGUAUGCAGAAGGUUGUUUAGACACGCGGGAAAUGUGUGUUGGCAUAGAUAGAACUAGGCGUGUGUUAAUUGCAGCUGAUGCAUGGGGGCAUAGCAUGGCUAAUGCUCUAUAUCAGGCAGCACAGAUAAAUGUUUCGAACGAACCAGGUCUAGAUGAGAUGGGGGGGCUAGAGGUGCCAGGAGAUUUAGACACAAGGGGUGUGUUGUAUGCGGGGGCAAACACACGAAAUGUACUUAACGCUGUCGGGGGGUGGUUGGAUAGUGCACAAGAGAGUCUAUACAUAUCAGCGCAGAUCGAUGUAUUGCAUGGGUCGCAAUGUGAUGAAGGGAUUGGCGAGGGUUUUCAGGACCCCCCGGCUGUGACAGGGGUCCCUAUAGAGUCGCAAUGUGAUGAAGGGAUUGGCGAGGGUUUUCAGGACCCCCCGGCUGUGGCAGGGGUCCCUAUAGAGUCGAAUAUACAGGUCGGUGGGGGCGGUGGUGGUGUGGGGGGUGGUGGCGGUGUGGGGGGUGGCGGUGGUGGCGGUGAUGGUGGUGGUGUGGGAGGUGGCGGUGGUGGUGGCGGUGUGGGGGGUGGCGGUGGUGGCGGUGAUGGUGGUGGUGUGGGAGGUGGCGGUGGUGGUGGUGAUGUUGAUGGUGAUGGCGGUGGUGGUGACGGUGAUGGUGGUGGUGACGGUGAUGGUGGUGCUGCUGAUGCUGAUGAUGGUACACCUGUGCCUGCUGUAACGGGGGAAGAUAAUGACGAGUUGCAUACUAGAUUAUUUCCCCAUUUUAACGGCUUUGAGGUUAGACAGUCCAUUGAUCUGAGAAGUAUAUCCCUUGCAAAUUUACAGGAGGUCCCUGAUUUGAUCAGGGAGAGGCUGUCGGGUGUCAUAACGAGCUGCUCACAAAGUUCAGCCGAUGGUAGUGUCUUAAACGUGGUGCUGAGAGGCCCUUCAUUGGCCUCUGAUGUACAGACUGUGCUCGUAUCGGGUGACGAUUACAAUGCGGAUUUGUUUAUGGACCAUAUUAGCCAAGUCAUGCAGAGUAACGACACAGGUCUGACGGAUGACGUGCUAGAGUUGGUGGUCACAGGGGUCCACAACAAACGGGGUGGGGCACGUUUGAAGUUAAAAAACAUUCCCUAUGAUGAAAUCAUAAACAAGAAGAAGCUAAGUCUCUACACCCCGAGUAAUACUCAUAACAAUGUGUUUCUCACUAUGCAUGACACAUUUUCUGCAUGA
This 1407-nucleotide long non-coding RNA is filed under the name Gadus morhua (Atlantic cod). RNAcentral describes it as "lncRNA (ENSGMOG00000028915.1)". Lineage: Eukaryota; Metazoa; Chordata; Actinopteri; Gadiformes; Gadidae. The record is from RNAcentral.